RNAcentral lists this ribosomal RNA (537 nucleotides) under uncultured bacterium. RNAcentral describes it as "bacterial SSU rRNA". It matches the Rfam family "Bacterial small subunit ribosomal RNA", at positions 102 to 674 of the family's 1533-position model. The record is from RNAcentral.
ACGGGUGCGUAACGCGUGGGAAUCUGCCCUUAGGUUCGGAAUAACAGCUGGAAACGGCUGCUAAUACCGGAUGAUAUCGCGAGAUCAAAGAUUUAUCGCCUGAGGAUGAGCCCGCGUUGGAUUAGGUAGUUGGUGGGGUAAAGGCCUACCAAGCCGACGAUCCAUAGCUGGUCUGAGAGGAUGAUCAGCCACACUGGGACUGAGACACGGCCCAGACUCCUACGGGAGGCAGCAGUGGGGAAUAUUGGACAAUGGGCGCAAGCCUGAUCCAGCAAUGCCGCGUGAGUGAUGAAGGCCCUAGGGUUGUAAAGCUCUUUUACCCGGGAAGAUAAUGACUGUACCGGGAGAAUAAGCCCCGGCUAACUCCGUGCCAGCAGCCGCGGUAAUACGGAGGGGGCUAGCGUUGUUCGGAAUUACUGGGCGUAAAGCGCACGUAGGCGGCUUUGUAAGUCAGAGGUGAAAGCCUGGAGCUCAACUCCAGAACUGCCUUUGAGACUGCAUCGCUUGAAUCCAGGAGAGGUCAGUGGAAUUCCGAGU